RNAcentral lists this ribosomal RNA (728 nucleotides) under uncultured bacterium. Its description in RNAcentral is "bacterial SSU rRNA". It matches the Rfam family "Bacterial small subunit ribosomal RNA", at positions 60 to 748 of the family's 1533-position model. The record is from RNAcentral.
AGUCGAGCGAGUCUGCCUUGAAGAUCGGAGUGCUUGCACUCUGUGAAACAAGAUACAGGCUAGCGGCGGACGGGUGAGUAACACGUGGGUAACCUGCCCAAGAGAUCGGGAUAACACCUGGAAACAGAUGCUAAUACCGGAUAACAACAGAUGAUGCCUAUCAACUGUUUAAAAGAUGGUUCUGCUAUCACUCUUGGAUGGACCUGCGGUGCAUUAGCUAGUUGGUAGGGUAACGGCCUACCAAGGCGAUGAUGCAUAGCCGAGUUGAGAGACUGAUCGGCCACAUUGGGACUGAGACACGGCCCCAACUCCUACGGGAGGCAGCAGUAGGGAAUCUUCCACAAUGGACGCAAGUCUGAUGGAGCAACGCCGCGUGAGUGAAGAAGGGUUUCGGCUCGUAAAGCUCUGUUGUUGGUGAAGAAGGACGGGGGUAGUAACUGACCUUUGUUUGACGGUAAUCAAUUAGAAAGUCACGGCUAACUACGUGCCAGCAGCCGCGGUAAUACGUAGGUGGCAAGCGUUGUCCGGAUUUAUUGGGCGUAAAGCGAGUGCAGGCGGUUCGAUAAGUCUGAUGUGAAAGCCUUCGGCUCAACCGGAGAAUUGCAUCAGAAACUGUCGAGCUUGAGUACAGAAGAGGAGAGUGGAACUCCAUGUGUAGCGGUGAAAUGCGUAGAUAUAUGGAAGAACACCGGUGGCGAAGGCGGCUCUCUGGUCUGUUACUGACGCUG